GACGAACGCUGGCGGCGGGCUUAACACAUGCAAGUCGAACGGAAAGGCCCUGCUUUUGUGGGGUUCUCGAGUGGCGAACGGGUGAGUAACACGUGAGUAACCUGCCCUUGACUUUCGGAUAACUUCAGGAAACUGGGGCUAAUACCGGAUAGGAGCUCCUGCUGCGUGGUGGGGGUUGGAAAGUUUCGGCGGUUGGGGAUGGACUCGCGGCUUAUCAGCUUGUUGGUGGGGGAGUGGCAUGCCAAGGCAUUGACGGGUAGCCGGCCGGAGAGGGUGACCGGCCACCUUGGGACUGAGAUACGGCCCAGACUCCAAUGGGAGGCAGCAGUGGGGAGUAUUGCACAAUGGGCGGGAGCCUGAUGAAGCAACGCCGCGUGCGGGAUGACGGCCUGCGGGUAGUAAACCGCAUUCGCCUGUGACGACGCGUGAGUGACGGUAAUGGGUAAAGAAGCACCGGCUAACUACGUG
This 468-nucleotide ribosomal RNA is filed under the name uncultured bacterium. RNAcentral describes it as "partial 16S ribosomal RNA". It matches the Rfam family "Bacterial small subunit ribosomal RNA", at positions 28 to 507 of the family's 1533-position model. The record is from RNAcentral.